This 307-nucleotide long non-coding RNA is filed under the name Nicotiana benthamiana. RNAcentral describes it as "long non-coding RNA (NBEN_LNC001871)". Lineage: Eukaryota; Viridiplantae; Streptophyta; Magnoliopsida; Solanales; Solanaceae. The record is from RNAcentral.
CCCCAACAUAAAGAAUAUCGAAUGCAAUGUCUAUUGACAUUUAAUGUUAAGGGAGAUAGAAGCAAACCAACUGUAUGGAACUUUAAAUACAAGAAUCGCUGACAUCAACACACUCACUCAUAUCCUGUUGAGAACAUUCCCAAACUUGAACACAGUUGCCGAGAGAAAAGGAUACAGCACAACUGCAUCAAUACCAAAACAUAAGUCAUUAUGCUAAGUUUUUGUAGGAAUGACUCAAUAAAAUAGUAAUGUUCUUGUGACAAACCUGCCUAUCACUAUCAAGACCCUCUCUUGCAGCCUUUGCUAU